This 353-nucleotide ribosomal RNA is filed under the name uncultured bacterium. RNAcentral's name for it is "partial 16S ribosomal RNA". It matches the Rfam family "Bacterial small subunit ribosomal RNA", at positions 338 to 708 of the family's 1533-position model. The record is from RNAcentral.
CCUACGGGAGGCAGCAGUGGGGAAUAUUGCACAAUGGGGGGAACCCUGAUGCAGCGACGCCGCGUGGGUGAAGAAGCGCCUCGGCGCGUAAAGCCCUGUCAGCAGGGAAGAAAAUGACGGUACCUAAAGAAGAAGCCCCGGCUAACUACGUGCCAGCAGCCGCGGUAAUACGUAGGGGGCAAGCGUUAUCCGGAUUUACUGGGUGUAAAGGGGGCGCAGGCGGGGAUGCAAGCCAGGAGUGAAAGCCCGGGGCCUAACCCCGGGACUGCUUUUGGAACUGCGUGGCUGGAGUGCGGGAGGGGUAGGUGGAAUUCCUGGUGUAGCGGUGAAAUGCGUAGAGAUCAGGAGGAACA